CUGGUAAAAACCCUCCUCAUGGAUAUUUCUCAAGGUUAGUUCUUGAAAUAAAUAUUUACAUAUGCUAUAUAUUAGAUUUGUUUGUUCUUGGGAAUUGUUUGAAAACGUUGUAUGUUAUAGAAAUAUUAAACAGGCCUUAGGGCCCGGAUUCUUAACGUAUAAAAUGUCAAUAUUAGCUAAAAUGAUUAGAGCUUUAAUAUUAUCUAAUGUUUUUUUAGAUUCUCAAACCUUCACUCAGAUUCUCCGAGAUAUAACUGAACUCGAACCGGCCGUAGGGUCUCCGGAACAAAUUGUUUACAUCCCAACGCCGACCCUGAAUUGUACGGAAAUACAUCCUAGAACGGGUGCCAUAGGGAGUCUACACGGUUUCUGUGAAGGAUAUGCCUACGAGACAAUUGUGCCCUACUCCCAGGAUGUAUUUACACACAAGCCGCAAACAGAGACUUUAAACGGCCUGUCAACUCCCCUGACCCAGGACCGUUGGACGCCCCCUAUUAAACACCAACGGACAAUCAGGGCCCAGAUCCACAGGUCCGCUUCACCCGAACAAUACUACUGGGAGGGUAUUCACGAGACAGCGUUACAAGGACAAGGCUCACAAGCUACAGACCAGGCCGAUGCUAUAAUUAGGGUUGCCCAAAGACAUGUUCCCGAGUU
Long non-coding RNA from Salvelinus fontinalis (brook trout), 657 nucleotides. RefSeq lists it as uncharacterized. NCBI's taxonomy places the organism in Eukaryota, Metazoa, Chordata, Actinopteri, Salmoniformes, Salmonidae. The record is from RefSeq and is a predicted model, not a curated record. The transcript is spliced from 3 exons.